Long non-coding RNA from Triticum dicoccoides, 1494 nucleotides. RefSeq lists it as uncharacterized. The record is from RefSeq and is a predicted model, not a curated record. The transcript is spliced from 4 exons. Lineage: Eukaryota; Viridiplantae; Streptophyta; Magnoliopsida; Poales; Poaceae.
UGCCUCCCCUCCCUCACCCCAAACCACCUCCUUGUCCUUCUCCAAUCUCGAAUGAUGUAGAUCCUGCGGCGGCGCUAGAUUUGCACCGGCGGGAUUUGGAAUUGAAGAUCCUGGGCUUGAGUUCCUGCUCGAUGCUGCCUAUAGCUUUCAGGUUCCCACUACAGGAGGAGUUUUGCUGGGUCUGGGUGCGGCCAGCAGGUCGGCUGCGCUGACCCGGAGAGGGCACAGGUGGGGGUUCGUCGAUGACCAGAUGCAUCUCCAACUCUGUCGGCACAAUCAACCGACGGGGUCAACCCGGAGGCCCAUGGUUGGACAAAAAGACCAGAACAGAUGUAUGGAGGUGGCAAUCAGCAAAGUUUAUCCGGACAGUGUGCACUGGUGGUGCAAAUGGCAUGUGCUGAAGAAGGCAAAGGAGCGUUUGGUCCCCUGUACAUGAAGAAGAGAGAGUUCCAAGCUGAAUUCUACAAAGUGGUGAACCACAUGUUAAAUGAAGAUGAGUUCGAGACAACGUGGGGUAUGCUGCUUAAUAAGUACAACCUGAAGAAGCACCCUUACAUGACCCAGAUCUACGAAAUAAGAAGAAAAUGGCCAAAAACAUACUUCAAGGAGUUUUUUUUUGCACCAAGAUGACAUGCAAAGAACGCAGCAAGAGCGUGAACUGCAUGUUGAAGAAGCACAUGCCUCCUGCUCGCCCGAUGCACACCUUUGUGAGGCAGUACAUGAGGUUGUUGUUUGACCGCGAGCGCGAGGAAAGCUACGAGGAUAAGAGGAUGAUGAUCGUAACUCCACUAUGUUUCUUUGCAUAGUUUUAGUGACAACCACCCAGAUCACCUACCCGCCGCACCGCCACCUCGUGUAUUUAUCUGGUUUCCAUCUUUUAAAAUUUACUUCUGUUUGACAGGGUGAAGUUGUUAGGAGAACGAAUUUGGCAAUUGAGAGACACGCAAGCAAGAUUUACACGAGGGCUAUGUUCUAGGAGUUUGGUUACCUACUAACUAAAGGCACGACGUACAAUGUCACGGAGGUGGAGAAGAUGAUGAAGUAUGUCACAACGCACAACGAAGAGGUGAAGAGAGGAAAAUGGAACAGAGUUGUGUACGAGGUUACAGUAAACGAGGACCACUUGGAGUUUAAGUGCGUGUGUGGACAAUUUGAACACACCAGAAUGUUAUGAUGCCACGUCUUAAGGGUCAUGGAUGUACUUCAUUUGAAGGAGAUUCUUGUGAAACAAUGGACCAAGGACGCAAGAGACAUUCUGCCCCAGCACCUGACUCAAUACCAGAAGGACCACUCUGUUAACAUGUUUUCAUGUGCAGGCAUUCGACAUUAUACAUGAAAGCUUUGGAAGUCAGUCGAGAUGGGAGAUGCGAGUGCAGAAUCAUUCGAGCACAUGUUAGCUGGUCUUGAUGCUUUGCUAUUGAUGGCCACAAGCAAACAACCUGUCUCGAAAAAGGGAAUGCACCCAAGAAACCAUGCCAGCCGGGGAAAUGCAAG